This 629-nucleotide ribosomal RNA is filed under the name Bacillus sp. (in: firmicutes). RNAcentral's name for it is "bacterial SSU rRNA". It matches the Rfam family "Bacterial small subunit ribosomal RNA", at positions 51 to 663 of the family's 1533-position model. The record is from RNAcentral. Lineage: Bacteria; Bacillati; Bacillota; Bacilli; Caryophanales; Bacillaceae.
AUACAUGCAAGUCGAGCGGACAGAUGGGAGCUUGCUCCCUGAAGUCAGCGGCGGACGGGUGAGUAACACGUGGGCAACCUGCCUGUAAGACUGGGAUAACUCCGGGAAACCGGGGCUAAUACCGGAUAAUUCUUUCCCUCACAUGAGGGAAAGCUGAAAGAUGGUUUCGGCUAUCACUUACAGAUGGGCCCGCGGCGCAUUAGCUAGUUGGUGAGGUAACGGCUCACCAAGGCAACGAUGCGUAGCCGACCUGAGAGGGUGAUCGGCCACACUGGGACUGAGACACGGCCCAGACUCCUACGGGAGGCAGCAGUAGGGAAUCUUCCGCAAUGGACGAAAGUCUGACGGAGCAACGCCGCGUGAGUGAUGAAGGUUUUCGGAUCGUAAAACUCUGUUGUUAGGGAAGAACAAGUACCGGAGUAACUGCCGGUACCUUGACGGUACCUAACCAGAAAGCCACGGCUAACUACGUGCCAGCAGCCGCGGUAAUACGUAGGUGGCAAGCGUUGUCCGGAAUUAUUGGGCGUAAAGCGCGCGCAGGCGGUUCCUUAAGUCUGAUGUGAAAGCCCCCGGCUCAACCGGGGAGGGUCAUUGGAAACUGGGGAACUUGAGUGCAGAAGAGAAAGAGU